UCAAUAGUGCAGAGCUAAAAGCAGCGAGCCAGCGCGAGUAGCGAGAGGAAAAAACGAAGUGGACCGAGCUAGCAGCGACACAAAAGCAGACCUAACCCGCGUCUUUCCGAGCCCUCCCUGCCACCGCCGCCACCCCUCUCCUCUGCCCAGCACCUCCUCCUCCCCUUCCUCUCCUCCUUCCCUGCCUCCGGAUCCAGACCAUGUGACCGGAGUUCAGCGGCAGAGCCCCCAGCCCCGCGCCGGAGUUCAGGGGCAGGGCGGAGCAAAUAGCCGGGCCGACGCCAGGGUUCGGCCCCGGCCCCAAGGGGAGUUGGUGAUGGCGUCGUGAGAGGCUAGGGCCUGUAGAGCCCCCAGCCCCGCAACGGAGUUCAGCGGCAGGGGCGGAGCGAAUAGCCGGGCCGAGCCGGGCCGACGCCCAGGUUCGGCCCCGGCCCCCAGGGGAGUUGGCGGCGGCGUCGUGAGAGGCUAGGGCCUCCUCCCUGUGAAAGGCAACUGCGCUUGUCCUCGGCAGCGGCGAUCUAGGCACCGGUCCAGGGUGAUUUACCUCUUGAAGCCUCUUUCAGAUUGUUCCAAUUCAGUCCCCUCUCAGUUUGUGCUAAAAGAAAGUUCUUAUUAGGGAUUUGAGUUUAUCCUUUUAACGUGUGCUUGUGCUAGAGCAUCGGCGCUCUCUCGGCUACGCCUGGGUGUUCGAGCUGUCAGUGUGUACAGGAGCAGCAGCCACCACCGCUGCCAAGGAGCUCCAUCAAUCACGUGCUCACUCUUGCUUCACAGACUAUGUAUGGUCAGUUCAGGUUCCAACUUUCCAAGCUACAAGUCGAUGACUGUAACUGUCCCAAGAGGCUAGAAGAUAUCAUGACUUCUUUCUUAGUAGCAGAGCUUACGCUCUUCUGUUUUCUUUGAUACUUUUGAACCCAAAAAAUUGGACCAGUCGCUGUAGAUUUUUAAAUCACAGCUUUGUGGAGAAUAUACACUUUUUUGGGACAUUAAUAGAAGUGUGCUCCUCGCUCAUUUAUUGUACUCCUGUUACUCCUAUCAGAUUUCGACAUUUGUAAACAUGGCUGCGUUCCAGUAUUGAUAAGAAUUCAAGUUCUUGUGUUAUGUUAUGAACAUACCAUACCAAUUUGUUAUGUACCAUACCAACAUACAUACAAUUCAAGCUCCAAGCACACGUUUUCAUUGUGGUAACCAUAAGAAAUUUUACAUUGGAUGGUGAAUUUCAAAAUUAUUUUGUUUGGAUUCUGAAUCAUGCUAGGCAAUGCCGUCUUUGUUAUAAUUUGUUAUAUUGUACACACAGUUCCCUAAGAUUCUCUGGUGGUUUAUUCUAUUAUAAAGCCAGCAAAAGAAGCUGGGGAAGGGAAUUUUUUAAGGACAAGAGAAAAGCCAUGAGUUGUUUUGCUGAGAAAAGAAACAAGUAAUAUCGCAUUCUGAAGGUUCAUUUCCUUAUAUAUGGGUAAAAUGCGUGAGACUGUCGUUUUUGUAUUGGCUUCAAUGGAGGAUGAUUUGCUGUGUAUGUUUCAUUUGCCAUCAAGGCCAUCAUAACGUCCACUCAUGUCUAAUCCUAAUGGUGAAAUGAGUGAGCCAAUCCAUCUGUAUCGGCUUUAAGGGAGCAGUCUUAUUUCAAUUGCCAUCAAGGCGAUCACGACAACGACUCAUCUUUAUUCCUGAUGGUGAACCGAUUUUGACUGUUGUUUAUGGUUCUGAAAAUGAUUGCUGGGGAAGGAGGACCAUUCGUAAUUUGGCCUCAAGGACAUGCUCUGUGCAGGUUGCGACCUUCCUUCCCUCCUCUUACUGGUUUGCUUUUAGUAUUAUUAAACUGCACGGCACAGAAGAUUUUUUUUGGUUAUGCCUAGACCUGAAUGUUUUGGGGGUGAUGCAGCUACACUGACAGAUGAAUAUUUGUAGAGAAAUGUCUUGGAAAUUGCAAGUAGAUGGCUACUCUACACUGGCAGAUGCUUACUAAUUUGUAACAAUAAGAUCAAGUCGCAUGUCAUAUGUCGAUUCUCUUACAGAUUAAAUUGUGAGCAUAUUCAGACACAUAUGUCGGUCUGGUGAGCAUAUUACAGUCUUCACCAGAUGCAUUUGUGUUUCGUAAAAAUGCAUUGAUGCUAUGUGGAGAUUACUCUUGCACUGUUUUUCUACUAUCUUGUUGUUUCUCUGUUUUUGCAUUUUAAGUUCCCAAAUGCUUAGAUAGUUAAUGCAGUGUUUUAAGUUCACAUUUUAAGUUUCUCUGUUUUUGCAUUUUAAAUUCAGAAUGACACUUAUGAUUCCCAGGGGAAGAAGCGGUUUCCAAAUGAGGAAGGUUAGUUUAAUUUGCCAAGAAAAUAAAUAUAGUGGACAUUAAUUUGAUUAAUGUAUCUUCCAAUGUUAUUAGAAUACAACACGAAGAAGUCAGAUUUUGUCAAAGUACAGGUCGGAGAGAAAAGUGCCAGGAAGAAAAUGGAAGUAGCAGCCAAAAUCUGACAAGAUGCAAAGGCCCAUAUCGAGUAUGUACUGCAGUCAAAGGGAUUCAGUUCAGUUAUUAAAAUUUCUUGGCAUCCAAAUUACUUAUCAAAUGGUUUUUACUGAGUUGGAGAAGACCUUGUUGCUUCGAUUUUAUCCUGCCAGCAACAAAUUGGAUUGUUUAUUUUAUAUGAAUGCAUUAUUAUUCCCCUCUCA
Long non-coding RNA from Triticum dicoccoides, 2655 nucleotides. RefSeq lists it as uncharacterized. Lineage: Eukaryota; Viridiplantae; Streptophyta; Magnoliopsida; Poales; Poaceae. The transcript has 4 exons. The record is from RefSeq and is a predicted model, not a curated record.